This 1675-nucleotide long non-coding RNA is filed under the name Parus major (Great Tit). RNAcentral's name for it is "lncRNA (ENSPMJG00000004568.1)". The record is from RNAcentral. Lineage: Eukaryota; Metazoa; Chordata; Aves; Passeriformes; Paridae.
CCCAAAAUCGCCCAAAUUCACCCCAAAACCGAACUUAAAAACUCAAAAAUCAGCAAAAAUCGCCCGAAUUUGACCCAAAAUCGCCCGAAUUCGACCCAAAUUCUCCCACCUGGAUCCGGCUCCUCUCACCUGAGGCUCGCCCGAGGGAGGGGGCGUGGCCGCCGUGACGUCACCGAUGACGUCACUCCCAGACGGGGCGUGGCCUCGUCGAAAAACCGCAAUUUCCUGGAGUUGUUUUUGAGGUUUUUUUGGGGAAAUUUCGGGGUUUUUUGGGGUUGGUUUUGAGGGGCGUGGCUUGUUAUGCUAAUUAAGGGUGGUUUCCUGCCAAAAUAAGCCACGCCCACCCCGUUUUUCCCGCCUUUUUUUUUCUGAGGGGAUUGUCGGCCAUUUUGAAUCGGAAUUUUUUAAUGUCGAAUUUUGGAGUUUUUAAUUAAGAUUUUAAUUAAGGUUUUAAUCAAGAUUGUAAUUCAGAGGCGUGGUCUCCUCUAUGCAAAUUAGGUUGAAGCCCCUCCCACUCCCUGGGAAUUUUCCCGCCGUUUUUUUGAGGGGAUUUUCGGCCAUUUUGAAUCGGAUUUUUUUGGGUCAAAUUUGGGAGUUUUUAAUGAAGAUUUUAAUCAGGAGGCGUGGCCUCCUUUAUGCUAAUUAACCCUCUCUCCCAUCGAGGUUUUCCCGCCUUUUCUCUGUGGGGGUUGUCGGCCAUCUUGGUCGGCCAUCUUGGAUCGGUUUUCGGCCAUCUUGGAUCGGAUUUUUGGGAGUUUUUUUGGGGUGAAUUUGGGCGUUUUUUGGUGUGGGGGGUUUGCCGCCAUCUUGGAUCAAAUUUCCGCCAUCUUGGAUCAAAUUUCGGCCAUCUUGGAUCUGAUUUUUGGUGGUUUUUGGGUCAAAUCUGGGAUUUUUUUCCCCUGUGUGUGGGCGUGGCCUCCCUUAUGCUAAUUACCCCCCCUCUCCCCUCAGAGCCCGCCCUCUCCCCUGGCAUUUUCCCGCCAUUUUCCUGUAGAGCUGUCGGCCAUCUUGGUCGGCCAUCUUGGUCAGCCAUCUUGGUCGGCCAUCUUGGAUUGAUAUUCGGCCAUCUUGGAUUGAUUUUCGGCCAUCUUGGAUCAAAUUUCGGCCAUCUUGGAUUGAUUUUCAGCCAUCUUGGAUCAAAUUUCGGCCAUCUUGGAUCAAAUUUUGGCCAUCUUGGAUCGAUUUUCGGCCAUCUUGAAUCAGAUUUUUGGGGUUUUUCCGGCGUUUUUUGGGUGUUUUCCACCGGGAUUUUUUCUCCCAGAUGUGGGCGUGGCCUCCCCCAUGCUAAUUACCCCCCUCUCCCCUCAGAGCCCGCCCGCUCCCCCGAGCUUUUCCCGCUCUACACCUGCCAGGCCUGCGAGGAUCAGGUGACCUUCGGCUGCCUGGCUUCCGGUUUUUUCCCCUCGCCGGCCGAGAUCACGUGGGAGGGCGUGGCCGAGGCCGAGGGAGGGAACUUCCUGUGCAGGGCGGAGCAUCGGGGGAGCAGCGUCAGCAUCGACAUCACAGGUGAGCUCACCUGGAGAUUUGGGGUGAAAAUCGGGGAUUUUGGGUUAAAAUUGGGGAUUUUGGGGGGAAAAUUGGGGAUUUUGGAGGAAAUUUUGGGGUGUUUGGGGUGGAUUUUGGGGUGACCUGAGCCCCCCAGCCCUGGAGAAGGCGGAGAGCGAGGCCAUGAGGG